This 232-nucleotide unclassified non-coding RNA is filed under the name uncultured fungus. RNAcentral describes it as "sequence contains ITS1". The record is from RNAcentral. Lineage: Eukaryota; Fungi.
GUAUUGUAUUGCGUUAAACGCGACAUGCAUUCCAUGAGACUUUAUUACAGUGUGUGUGUAAAGACAUAGAACCACAGCAAGAGGACAGAGUCCCCCAAGCCACAGAACUACAGAGGGUGCACAGGUGUGAGUGGAUGUGCAAACAGAGCGUGCACAUGCCCCCAUACAGGGGCCAGCAACAACCCUUGUUGACAAUUCGGUAAUGAUCCUUCCGCAGGUUCACCUACGGAAA